GAUUAAGAAAAUAAGAGCUCCAAACCCUCUCUUCUUCCUCUCCAAAACCAAACCCUUUCAUCUCCAUGCCAAAUCCAUUAUUCUCAACCAAACUUGAUGGAAUUGGAGGCAAAAUGAUCACAAGGAAGAGGAUAAGCAAGGUAUAAACAAUGGAUUGGGAGCUUGAAUUUGGAGAAUUCAUGGGGGAAUUUAAUUCGGCCACAAAGAUAACUCAUCACUCAAGAUCGGACGAGCGACUAUCGACAAGGCUUGAGGCAAAGGGAUCGAGAUAUCUUCAUGCGUAUUUGAAGAAUUUGGAUAGCAAGUGG
Long non-coding RNA from Mercurialis annua (annual mercury), 308 nucleotides. RefSeq lists it as uncharacterized. The transcript is spliced from 3 exons. The record is from RefSeq and is a predicted model, not a curated record. Lineage: Eukaryota; Viridiplantae; Streptophyta; Magnoliopsida; Malpighiales; Euphorbiaceae.